GGACAGGUGGCAGAGUGGUCGAUUGUACCUGACUCGAAAUCAGGCGUCCCUUCACGGGGACCGGGGGUUCGAAUCCCUCCCUGUCCG
RNAcentral lists this transfer RNA (87 nucleotides) under Verrucomicrobium sp. GAS474. It matches the Rfam family "tRNA". From Rfam's summary of the family: Transfer RNA (tRNA) molecules are approximately 80 nucleotides in length. Their secondary structure includes four short double-helical elements and three loops (D, anti-codon, and T loops). The record is from Rfam by way of RNAcentral. Lineage: Bacteria; Pseudomonadati; Verrucomicrobiota; Verrucomicrobiia; Verrucomicrobiales; Verrucomicrobiaceae.